GGAGGGAUGCCGGAGCGGUUGAUCGGAGCGGUCUUGAAAACCGCAGGGGCCGCCAAGCCCCCGGGGGUUCGAAUCCCUCUCCCUCCGCCA
This 90-nucleotide transfer RNA is filed under the name Candidatus Dormiibacterota bacterium. Its description in RNAcentral is "tRNA-Ser". It matches the Rfam family "tRNA". From Rfam's summary of the family: Transfer RNA (tRNA) molecules are approximately 80 nucleotides in length. Lineage: Bacteria; Bacillati; Candidatus Dormiibacterota. The record is from RNAcentral. RNAcentral also lists the same sequence under 3 other names.